Molecule: ribosomal RNA, 387 nt
Filed under: uncultured Acidobacteriota bacterium
Lineage: Bacteria; Pseudomonadati; Acidobacteriota
Description: bacterial SSU rRNA
Rfam family: Bacterial small subunit ribosomal RNA
Source: RNAcentral
AGAGUUUGAUCCUGGCUCAGAAUCAACGCUGGCGGCGCGCUUAACACAUGCAAGUCGCACGAGAAAGCAGGAGCAAUCUUGUGAGUAAAGUGGCGUACGGGUGAGUAACACGUGGAUCAUCUACCUUUUAGUGGGGAAUACCCCUGGGAAACCGGGGACAAUACCGCAUAAGCUCGAAAGAGGAAAGCAGCAAUGCGCUGAAAGAGGAGUCCGCGGCUGAUUAGCUAGUUGGCGGGGUAACGGCCCACCAAGGCGAAGAUCGGUAGCCGGCCUGAGAGGGCACACGGCCACACUGGCACUGAAACACGGGCCAGACUCCUACGGGAGGCAGCAGUGGGGAAUCUUGCACAAUGGAGGAAACUCUGAUGCAGCGACGCCGCGUGAGCG